CCUACGGGAGGCAGCAGUGAGGAAUAUUGGUCAAUGGCCUCAGGGCUGAACCAGCCAAGUCGCGUGAGGGAUUACGGUCCUAUGGAUUGUAAACCUCUUUUGUCAGGGAGCAAAGGGCGCCACGUGUGGCGCUUUGCGAGUACCUGAAGAAAAAGCAUCGGCUAACUCCGUGCCAGCAGCCGCGGUAAUACGGAGGAUGCGAGCGUUAUCCGGAUUUAUUGGGUUUAAAGGGUGCGCAGGCGGAAUGUCAAGUCAGCGGUAAAAUUUCGGGGCUCAACCCCGUCGUGCCGUUGAAACUGGCGUUCUUGAGUGAGCGAGAAGUAUGCGGAAUGCGUGGUGUAGCGGUGAAAUGCAUAGAUAUCACGCAGAACUACGAUUGCGAAGGCAGCAUACCGGCGCUCAACUGACGCUCAUGCACGAAAGCGUGGGUAUCGAACAGGAUUAGAUACCCUUGUAGUC
This 459-nucleotide ribosomal RNA is filed under the name uncultured bacterium. RNAcentral describes it as "partial 16S ribosomal RNA". It matches the Rfam family "Bacterial small subunit ribosomal RNA", at positions 338 to 795 of the family's 1533-position model. The record is from RNAcentral.